This 1545-nucleotide long non-coding RNA is filed under the name Taeniopygia guttata (zebra finch). Its description in RNAcentral is "lncRNA (ENSTGUG00000022379.1)". Lineage: Eukaryota; Metazoa; Chordata; Aves; Passeriformes; Estrildidae. The record is from RNAcentral.
AUGCCAGCCGUUCCCUGGGGUCCCUCUGGGCUGUCGGUGGCGUCUGUCCGGGCUGAAGCAUCCCUGCGUGCCUGUGGGGAGCUACCCCGGGCCGAGGAGCCACGGGCAGCCCUUCAGCCGUGUCCGUGCCAGCGCUGUCCGGUGCCCCGGUGCCCGUGCCGGGCCGUGCGUUGGGCACGCUGCGAGCCACGGGCAGGGCACGGCAGCUCCUGCCCUGCCGAGCCAAGGACCGGAGGUGCUCUCUGCCCUUCGGGGGCUCCGGGCUCCUCCAGCCCCGCACCGGGCGCAGCCGGAGCGGGAGCGGCGGCCCCGGCGGAGCGGCUCCUCCCGCCCGCGGCGAUACCGGUCCCGAUCCCAGCCCCGAUCCCGCCCCGAUCCUCCGGCCCCGGCACUCCCACCCUGCCCGCCGAGGAAGGAGCGGCUCUGCCCGGCUCCUACAGCAGACACCGGCGGGACCGGGACCCAAAUCCCCGGGCCCAGAUCCCAGUCCCGGUCCCACCUGAGCCCGUCGGACGCCGCGCAACGCCGGGAGCAGCCCCGAACCGAUCUCCGAGCGCCGCUCCCGCCGCAGCCCGGGCCGAGCAUCCCCCGCAGAACGUGAGGCGGGUGCGGAUCCGCCGCCAUUUACGGGCGGGGGGCGGGGCCAGCACAGGUGCGCGCACAGGUGCGCGGGGCCCCAGCGCGCCUGCGCGGGGCGGGGCCGGGGGAUUUAAGCCGCGGGGAGGCCCGGGCAGAGCCAUUUGCUGCUCGGCGCUCGGAGCGGGAGGUUGCGGCCGGCCGGGCCCCUUUAUCUCUUUUUCCAUUACUUUUCUUCUGCGUUUCUUUUCUUUUGUAUUUCUUUUUCUCUAUACCCCUUCUAUCUACCCUCCUUUCCUCCCCUCCCCCACCCCCUACACCCUCCCCCCCCCAAACCCCCCCCUCCCUCUCCCCCCUAGCCCUCCCCUCCCUCCCCCCCGGGCGGUCCCCCCUCCACCCCUUUCCCUAUCCUUCUUCUUUAUUCCUCUACUCACCCCUACCCUGUUCCUCCAUCCUGUCCCUUUUCCUUCCCUCCCCAGCCGGGCUCCCCCGUGCCCCCUCUCCCUGCUCCCCUUUCCCCCCCCCCACCUCGGGUUCCUUCUGCCGCCUUUCCAUGACACCUUCCCCCCUCCACACCUUCUGCCUCCUUCCCCAAACCCGCCUUCAAUCCUUCUUUUCCUUUCUCCACCCUGCCUUCCCCCCAGCCCCCUCCCCGACUGCCCUGCACACCCCGACCUCUCCCCACCUGCCCCCUGUCCUUGUCCCCUUCCCCUCGACUGCCGCUCUGCUCCCCUGUUCUCGUUCCCCAUUCCCCGUUCUCCUUCUUUCCUCGCAGCCGCGGGGCUCGGGGUGCCGGAGAAUAAAGCCCAGAGGGCCGGAGCCCGGCGCCCCCCGCCCUCGCUGGGGUCCCCACACGGGGCAGGAGCCGCUCUGCGGGUCCCCCCAUUGCAGUGCAACACACGGGCCGACACUGCCGGGGCUCCGGCUUUCCCGACAUCACACUGGGGGGUCGGGCUGGGGGGCAGGGAG